Camelus dromedarius (Arabian camel) is the source of this 743-nucleotide long non-coding RNA. RefSeq lists it as uncharacterized. The transcript has 3 exons. Lineage: Eukaryota; Metazoa; Chordata; Mammalia; Artiodactyla; Camelidae. The record is from RefSeq and is a predicted model, not a curated record.
UCCAGGGCUGUCAGGAACCCAACUGUUCUGGUAAAGUCCUGCCGUGAGUAGCAGGGGAAUUCACUGGCUCUGCAGGCAGCUGACUGCGUGCCAAUCCUGGCUGUGCCCUGACCAGCUGUGUGACCUUGGGCGAGUCACUUACCCUCUCUGGACCUGUUGUCUCAUAUGCAAAAUGGAACCGAGCCCUCGGAGAGCCUCGCUGGGUUGAGGCAAGACUGCACAGUGCCCUGGGACACUGUCCUGCCUGUGUGGAGGGUGUGGGACGAGGCUGACAUCGGAGAGCAAGCGGCAGAGUGUGCAGACAGAGGGACGUCCCCUCCCAGAAGUUCCCACUCCAGCUGACAGCUGGCCCAGGGGUCACUGCCGCCCAGCCCGGCCUGCAGCUCCCUUUCUGGUGUUCAGGGCUGGUGCGUACACUCGGCUCCUGCCUGUGACUGGUGUCUCGUCAGUCCCUGGGAGAGACGUGGGCUGGAGACGCAACUCCCCAGAUCGGGUCGGGGUUGGUUCCCAUUCCGUGGGAGCCCCUCCGCGGCCCACUCGUGCUCACUGCCAGUCGUCGACGGCCAUGUGGUCCACCCUCGCUGGUCUGCACGGGAACGGCAGGCAAGGGGGGCCCCUCCCCGCUCGCAGCCUCGAGUCCACCCACAACCACCACGAGCUGGGCUGCAGGCUGUGCCCCUCAUCCCCCCAAAGAGAGCCUCCAGCCUGCCUGGCACCCAGGACGUCCGCACGGUGAGCUCUGA